GACGAACGCUGGCGGCGUGCUUAACACAUGCAAGUCGAACGAAAAGAGGGAAAGAGCCUGCUCUUUCCGGAAUUGAGUGGCAAACGGGUGAGUAACACGUAAACAACCUACCUUCAGGAUGGGGACAACAGACGGAAACGACUGCUAAUACCGAAUAAGUUCCAAGAGCCGCAUGGCCCAUGGAAGAAAAGGUGGCCUCUACCUGUAAGCUAUCGCCUGAAGAGGGGUUUGCGUCUGAUUAGCUGGUUGGAGGGGUAACGGCCCACCAAGGCGACGAUCAGUAGCCGGUCUGAGAGGAUGAACGGCCACACUGGAACUGAGACACGGUCCAGACUCCUACGGGAGGCAGCAGGGGGGAAUCUUCCGCAAGGGGCGAAAGCCUGACGGAGCAACGCCGCGUGAGUGAUGACGGCCUUCGGGUUGUAAAACUCUGUGAUCCGGGACGAAAAGGCAGAGUGCGAAGAACAAACUGCAUUGACGGUACCGGAAAAGCAAGCCACGGCUAACUACGUG
Molecule: ribosomal RNA, 513 nt
Filed under: uncultured bacterium
Lineage: Bacteria
Description: partial 16S ribosomal RNA
Rfam family: Bacterial small subunit ribosomal RNA
Source: RNAcentral